This 454-nucleotide ribosomal RNA is filed under the name uncultured bacterium. RNAcentral describes it as "bacterial SSU rRNA". It matches the Rfam family "Bacterial small subunit ribosomal RNA", at positions 10 to 507 of the family's 1533-position model. The record is from RNAcentral.
AGUUUGAUCCUGGACUCAGAACUAACGCUGGCGGCAGGCCUCAAACAUGCAAGUCUAGGGGGUGUAGCAAUACAUCACCGGCGGACGGGUGCGUAACGCGUGGGAAUAUACCUAUCGAUUCGGAACAACUGAGGGAAACUUCAGCUAAUACCGAAUACGUCCUAACGGAGAAAGAUUUAUCGUCGAUAGAUUAGCCCGCGUUCGAUUAGCUAGUUGGUGGGGUAACGGCCCACCAAGGCGACGAUCGAUAGCUGUUCUGAGAGGAAGAUCAGCCACACUGGGACUGAGACACGGCCCAGACUCCUACGGGAGGCAGCAGUUGGGAAUCUUGGACAAUGGGGGAAACCCUGAUCCAGCCAUGCCGCGUGAGUGAUGAAGGCCUUCGGGUUGUAAAACUCUUUCGCGCACGACGAUAAUGACGGUAGUGCGAGAAGAAGCUCCGGCUAACUUCGUG